CAGUGAGGCAAUCUAGGCAAGCUGCUGUCAGGAGCCUGACAUCACAACAAUGCAUCCUAAUUUGCAUAACAUUUCUAUAAUUUUUCCUGAAUUUCUGUUAGCAAUGUGUGCACUUCUUUGAUAGACUUCUUCUAGAUACCAUGUACUUUUAGCAGUAGGAAUUUACAACCUAGAUGGCAUGCAAAUGCAUAAAUAUCAAAGUUAAAUGGACGCCAAGACGAGAUGGAGGACUAAAGCAGUACUUUCAUCAAUGUUCAGAUAAACGAGGAAUUUGCAACAGUAAUGCUGACAUGAAUGAAAAUAACUGAAAAUAGGAUAAAAAAGUGUUACAAGAACAAACUACGCAAUAUAAAAUCAGCACACAGUGGACAGAAUGAAACCAGCAAGAAUAAACAGUGAAAAACAAGAUUCUUCGUCUCUAGGACGGCUGCUUGGUCUGCUCUUUGGUCUAGGAGAGGAACGCCCAUCUGAGCCACCUCCAGGAGUUCCCCGCCCCUUUCCAGCUAUUUCAAUCAGUGGCUCAUCAUCUGAAGAAUCUACGUCUACUAAUGUACUGGCUGUUGCUAUACCUGCAAAGAAAUGGAACCAGUCAGAUGAGAAAUAGAUGAAGAACUAUGCUGCUUUCCAGUAGCAACCCAUGAGGAAGAUGAAAUGCUUGGGAUAGAUGCAACAGUGGAUGAUGGCACUGAAUGAGAAACUGACUGCUGUUUUAGUGCACUAGCUGUCAGUCCACCAUGGA
Molecule: long non-coding RNA, 739 nt
Organism: Zootermopsis nevadensis
Lineage: Eukaryota; Metazoa; Arthropoda; Insecta; Blattodea; Termopsidae
Source: RefSeq, a predicted model, not a curated record